Molecule: ribosomal RNA, 600 nt
Filed under: uncultured bacterium
Lineage: Bacteria
Description: bacterial SSU rRNA
Rfam family: Bacterial small subunit ribosomal RNA
Source: RNAcentral
GCCUAACACAUGCAAGUCGAACGGUCUCUUCGGAGAUAGUGGCGGACGGGUGAGUAACACGUGAGGAUCUGGCCUCAGGAGGGGGACAACAGCUGGAAACGGCUGCUAAUACCCCAUAUGCCUACGGGUGAAAUAGUUUUCUGCCUGGGGAUGAUCUCGCGGCUGAUUAGCUAGUUGGUGGGGUAAGGGCCUACCAAGGCGACGAUCAGUAGCUGGUCUGAGAGGACGAUCAGCCACACUGGGACUGAGACACGGCCCAGACUCCUACGGGAGGCAGCAGUGGGGAAUUUUCCGCAAUGGGCGAAAGCCUGACGGAGCAAUACCGCGUGAGGGAGGAAGGCCUUUGGGUUGUAAACCUCUUUUCUCAGGGAAGAAUAAUGACGGUACCUGAGGAAUAAGCAUCGGCUAACUCCGUGCCAGCAGCCGCGGUAAUACGGAGGAUGCAAGCGUUAUCCGGAAUCAUUGGGCGUAAAGCGUCCGCAGGUGGUUAUGCAAGUCUGCUGUCAAAGGCCGGGGCUCAACUCCGGACAGGCAGUGGAAACUGCAUGACUAGAGUACGGCAGGGGUAGAGGGAAUUCCCGGUGUAGCGGUGAAAUGCGU